GCAACCACAAUUUCAUCUUCUUCCUUAUACGUCAAUGAGCACUAUCCACACGACAGGCCUACACUCUAUUCAAACAGCAAAGGGUUACCUUCCAGUUCAACAUUUACCUUGGAAGAGGGGACCAUCUACUUGACCGCUGAGCCCAACACUCUGGAAGUGCAGGAUGACAAUGCUUCUGUGCUUGACGUCUAUUUAUAAGUGAAAAUGGUGAUCACCUAAGCACAUGGAUGAGACGUGAGCACAGUUAUGGCAGAGAAGUUUCUCCGCACCAGAAUUAUCCACAGCAACUUGGCUGAGCCCCACUACACACAGAGAAAUCAUCAACCUGACUUAAGAGUUUUCAAGAUGUCAACUUCAGGCUGAUCAGCAGAUGGGAUGUGAAAAAUACUACCCUAUUCUAUCAUUUGCUGUUGCUUGCUGAACUGUGAAGAACUGCAUGAACUAUAUUUAAGCUGCUUUCUGUACCAUUGCCAAUCACCUUUUUGGAGUUGGAAGUGCUAUUUUCCUAUGGACUUUUGCAUUAUUUCAUUGUGCAUGCAUCCAGUGAUUAUACAUAAGCAACAUAUGUAAUCUGCUUAUAUAUUUUUAAAAAUCCAUCCACACACAUGGUAAAUUAAGUAUAAAUUCUUUUGCAAAAUUAUAGUUCAUGUCAUUGAAAGUUUAAAUUGGUUUCAUUUAAAGAUCAAUAUACUAGGUCUGCCUUCACUUUAUAGAAAACUAGCUUCUAUAAAGAUUUUUUCACUGUUUACUAGUGAAAUGAGAAAAGCAAAGCUAUUUAUAAAAGGCCUUAUGUCGUGUACAUACAUUGUCUUUGAAAUAUUUGUGAUCUAGUUUAUUGCUUGUAAAAGAGAAAUUAUAUAAUUUAUUUAGUAAAUACUACUGUAAACUAUAGUUUUGUGAGAGAAAUAAAAUAUUUUGUUCUC
Molecule: long non-coding RNA, 923 nt
Filed under: Homo sapiens (human)
Lineage: Eukaryota; Metazoa; Chordata; Mammalia; Primates; Hominidae
Description: HSALNT0149871
Source: RNAcentral